RNAcentral lists this transfer-messenger RNA (349 nucleotides) under chicken gut metagenome. It matches the Rfam family "transfer-messenger RNA". Rfam says of the family: Bacterial tmRNA, also known as 10Sa RNA or SsrA, is named for its dual tRNA and mRNA-like properties. The record is from RNAcentral.
GGGCUUGUACCGGUUUCGACGGGGGUCUGGAAGUCAGAGUAGCCAUCCGCGGACCGUGGCCGCGCAACAAAACGGAACUUAAAUAUAAACGCUGAAGAUAGAAAUUUAGCAAUCGCUGCUUAAUGCGGCUGUCCGCCCUGGAUUGCUCACAGUCCAGGUCACGGGCAUCAUGAUUUGUGAGGCACUUUUCUCCCUAAGCUUUGCGGGGGCAAAAGAUUUUAUGAAGCUACUGAAUCCGUGAGCCUGUCUUUCGGCACAUGGAGGAGGGAAUGAUCAUAGAAAGACUGUGAUGGGAGAGGCUUUGAUGAAAGGGCUUUCGGACGCGGGUUCGACUCCCGCCAGGUCCAUC